RNAcentral lists this ribosomal RNA (350 nucleotides) under uncultured bacterium. RNAcentral describes it as "partial 16S ribosomal RNA". It matches the Rfam family "Bacterial small subunit ribosomal RNA", at positions 29 to 297 of the family's 1533-position model. The record is from RNAcentral.
AGUGAACGCUGGCGGUGCGCCUAAAACAUGCAAGUCGAGCGCCCUGGACUUUGCGAUUGAAGAAACCAAAGAUGCCGAAGAAACCGAAGAUACCGAAGAGUUUUUACUCCUCGGCCUCGUCGGACUCCUCGGUUUCCUCGGAUUCCUCGAUACUAAAGUCCAGGGAGCGGCAAACGGCUGCGUAACACGUGGAUACCUGCCUCGAACUCAGGGAUAACCCUCCGAAAGGAGGGCUAAUACCGGAUAGCUCGUAAGAGUAAAGCUUUUGCGGUUCGAGAGGGGUCUGCGGCCUAUCAGGUAGUUGGUAAGGUAACGGCUUACCAAGCCUAUGACGGGUAGCUGGUCUGAGA